UACUAGAAACGCGCCAAUAUUAAGUGUUGGCCUGAUACGUCCUUCCACCGCGUCGGAAAUCGCCUUUGGCAACAACGGAGACCCAAACAACAUGCCACAAUAACCGUUUCAACUCGUCGGUUCUCAUUCUAAUCACGGAUGUCACCAAUUCUUUGCCCAUUUCACGAAUCGGGGAAGACAAGAGUGAAAAUCCUAGGUCUCAACUCCUCAAUUAAAGGCCAAAGGAUAAGGAAAGGGAGCUCAAACCAUAUGGGUUUGACUCCUCGCAUUAAGAUUCACAUCACAGUAAUGAGAAAAGAGAAAGAAAAAGGGUUUUCACCAACCUUCAAAGUGGAGGAUUGCUUCGAUGCUCGUUGGAGUUGGAGAAGACGAAGCUCAAGAAAAUACCAGAGGAAUGCGAUUAUCCAGAUACAAUGAUUCGAAUAUUUGCCUUGUGUAUCUCUUUCUUCCUUCGACUUCUUCUUGUUCUUACCAGUGAGUGGGAGUGAGGUUUAGCUCGACCGGAUUGAAGCUUCGAGUUGAAGCUUCAAUGGUGAUUGAGUAUUAGCUCUGAGUGAGGGUUGAGAGAUUUAGGAUGAUGAAGAGGUUUGAGAUUUUGGUAUUGUGAUUAAAAUCCUUUGGAUGUCAGUGUGGGGUUUGAUUUAUAGGGCUCACAACUUGUAACAGAACGUGGCAGAGUCGGGAAGAGUUUGUUGAAGGUUAGGGCAGUGGUCAGGGUUAGUUGAAUUAAUGAGUUGCAUCAUGUUCAUGGUGAUGAUGAUGAUGGUCAAGGCUUGAUGGAGGUUUCUACAGGUCAUGAUGUAGGGCAUGACUGUAGGUUCAAGGCAGAUGUGUAUUGAUGCAGCAAGUCAUGGUGAGGUUGCAACAGGCCAAUGGUCAUGGUUGGUGAGAUCCUGUUUUGGAUUGGAUGCAGGAUGGUGAUGACAUUAAUGCCAGUUAUUUUUCUUGCUUAUGACUACAUUCUCCUUAAUCUUCUAUGUAAUGUAAAAAGGUUUAAUAUUUACUUUGCAACUUGGUGUCAUCGUGUAACAUUCCUUGUGGACAACCCCCUCCAUUUGAACUCAAUGCAUUGAAAUACCUUGAUAUUGAUUUACAGGUACUGUUCUGUCUUGUGCAAUAGGGUGGACAUUGCCAUUCUGACUUUGGUUUGACGUUGGCUUAGCAAUGCUUGUUUGGUUGCUUAUUUCCUGUUGUGUAAAGACUUAUGUCCCUUUGAUUGUUUUACCAUGAACAUAAGUGAACCAUGCCAAAACCUUUUGCCCAGUCAGAACUAUCCUACUAAUUGCCAUUAGAUCAAAGCUAGUAAUUAACAUAAUUAAUGAGAUACAUGUAUAUUCAUUCGCUUAUCUUCUGAUCUUUGUAAUCCUGACUUAGUAUAAUAUGCUAAGUGUUAUGACUUGGUUUUUUCCAUGCCCAUGUAUUGUUCAUGGCCUUGCCUUGCACCAGGUAUGCAAUCAGUUCUGGCACAUUAUGCCUCAAAGACCAACACAGUGUACUGCCAAGGCUUACAAUAGGUGACCACAGUUCAACAUUGUUUUGGAUUGGUCUGUCAUGAGCCAUAUUCCUAUUUUGCAGCAUGACAUCAUGGUUCUGUAGUAGGAUGACACAUGAGUGUUGCUUGUUCCUGGAAGAUUUGCAUUGUUCAUUUUGUUAUUGGUCAUGUCUAUAUGGAGUGUGGUUAGACAAGGCAAUAAGACAUCAAACUUGGCAUUUGGAUUAUCAUGUGCAAAAGGCAAAUUCCAUGACCAAAGAUUCAAAGAUUCAAGAUUAGGAAUGUAGUUAGGAUAUGGAUUUAGAUUUUAGGACUUUUGGAAGAAAAAGGUUGAGUUGACUUUGGUCAAAGUUGACUAAAAAGUCAAUUGUUGACCAAAGUCAACCCUUGGUCAAAGUUGUAAAAAAAUGUAUUUUUCAUGUAAUGACUAAUGUGAUGAAUUGUAAUGGACUGAAAGAAAUUAGUUUGAAAUGGAUUAAAAAUGGAUUAAAAAUGGUUUGAAAAUGGUUUUAAAA
Long non-coding RNA from Lathyrus oleraceus (garden pea), 2007 nucleotides. RefSeq lists it as uncharacterized. The transcript is spliced from 6 exons. NCBI's taxonomy places the organism in Eukaryota, Viridiplantae, Streptophyta, Magnoliopsida, Fabales, Fabaceae. The record is from RefSeq and is a predicted model, not a curated record.